GACGAACGCUGGCGGCGUGCUUAACACAUGCAAGUCGAACGGAAAGGCCCUGCGUUUGUGGGGUGCUCGAGUGGCGAACGGGUGAGUAACACGCGAGGAACCUGCCCUUGACUUUGGGAUAACUUCAGGAAACUGGGGCUAAUACCGGAUAGGAGCUCCUGCUGCAUGGGGGGGGUUGGAAAGUUUCGGCGGUGGUGGCUGGACUCGCGGCUUAUCAGCUUGUUGGUGGGGUAGUGGCUUACCAAGGCUUUGACGGGUAGCCGGCCUGGGAGGGUGACCGGCCACAUUGGGCCUGCGAUACGGCCCAGUCUGCUACGGGAGGCAGCAGUGGGGAAUAUUGCACAAUGGGCGGAAGCCUGAUGCAGCAACGCCGGGUGCGGGAUGACGGCCUUCGGGUUGUAAACCGCUUUGGCCUGUGCCGAAGCGUGAGUGACGGUAAUGGGUAAAGAAGCCCCGGCUAACUACGUG
This 468-nucleotide ribosomal RNA is filed under the name uncultured bacterium. RNAcentral's name for it is "partial 16S ribosomal RNA". It matches the Rfam family "Bacterial small subunit ribosomal RNA", at positions 28 to 507 of the family's 1533-position model. The record is from RNAcentral.